This 322-nucleotide ribosomal RNA is filed under the name Sandonidae sp. RNAcentral's name for it is "SSU rRNA". The stretch from base 62 to 322 matches the Rfam family "Eukaryotic small subunit ribosomal RNA", at positions 694 to 955 of the family's 1831-position model. Lineage: Eukaryota; Cercozoa; Glissomonadida; Sandonidae. The record is from RNAcentral.
GAUUUCUGGCUUGAAGCAUUUGGCCGGCCACGGUUUCGUGUGUUAGUGCUUUGUGCUCUGGCCAUCCUUCCAAUCGCUGCGUACCUUUCUUCAUUGAUUGGUGCGUGGUAUUGGAUCUUUUACUUUGAAAAAAUUAGAGUGUUUCAAGCAGGCUUUAUGCUAUGAAUACAUUAGCAUGGAAUAAUAAUUUAGGACUUUGGUCUUAUUUUGUUGGUUUCUAGGACUAAAGUAAUGAUUGAUAGGGACAGUUGGGGGUGCUAGUAUUCAGCGGCCAGAGGUGAAAUUCUUGGAUUCGCUGAAGACUAACUUAUGCGAAAGCAUU